RNAcentral lists this ribosomal RNA (276 nucleotides) under uncultured actinomycete. RNAcentral describes it as "partial 16S rRNA". It matches the Rfam family "Bacterial small subunit ribosomal RNA", at positions 222 to 489 of the family's 1533-position model. Lineage: Bacteria; Bacillati; Actinomycetota; Actinomycetes; Actinomycetales. The record is from RNAcentral.
UGGAUGAGCCCGCGGCCUAUCAGCUUGUUGGUGGGGUGAUGGCCUACCAAGGCUAUGACGGGUAGCCGGCCUGAGAGGGUGACCGGCCACACUGGGACUGAGACACGGCCCAGACUCCUACGGGAGGCAGCAGUGGGGAAUAUUGCACAAUGGGCGGAAGCCUGAUGCAGCGACGCCGCGUGAGGGAUGACGGCCUUCGGAUUGUAAACCUCUUCCCCCGGGACCAAGCACAAAUCCUAUUCUUUCUCGGCCUGCACCGAGCCUACCCGAUAUGAA